Molecule: ribosomal RNA, 425 nt
Filed under: uncultured bacterium
Lineage: Bacteria
Description: partial 16S ribosomal RNA
Rfam family: Bacterial small subunit ribosomal RNA
Source: RNAcentral
GUGGGGAAUCUUGCGCAAUGGGCGAAAGCCUGACGCAGCCAUGCCGCGUGAAUGAUGAAGGUCUUAGGAUUGUAAAAUUCUUUCACCGGGGACGAUAAUGACGGUACCCGGAGAAGAAGCCCCGGCUAACUUCGUGCCAGCAGCCGCGGUAAUACGAAGGGGGCUAGCGUUGCUCGGAAUUACUGGGCGUAAAGGGCGCGUAGGCGGAUCGUUAAGUCAGGGGUGAAAUCCCAGAGCUCAACUCUGGAACUGCCCUUGAUACUGGCGAUCUUGAGUGUGAGAGAGGUAUGUGGAACUCCGAGUGUAGAGGUGAAAUUCGUAGAUAUUCGGAAGAACACCAGUGGCGAAGGCGACAUACUGGCUCAUUACUGACGCUGAGGCGCGAAAGCGUGGGGAGCAAACAGGAUUAGAUACCCCUGUAGUCC